AUGAACGCUGGCGGCGUGCCUAAUCCCUGCAAGUCGAGCGAACAGAUGAGGAGCUUGCUCCUCUGACGUUAGCGGCGGACGGGUGAGUAACACGUGGAUAACCUACCUAUAAGACUGGGAUAACUUCGGGAAACCGGAGCUAAUACCGGAUAAUAUAUUGAACCGCAUGGUUCAAUAGUGAAAGACGGUUUUGCUGCCACUUAUAGAUGGAUCCGCGCCGCAUUAGCUAGUUGGUAAGGUAACGGCUUACCAAGGCAACGAUGCGUAGCCGACCUGAGAGGGUGAUCGGCCACACUGGAACUGAGACACGGUCCAGACUCCUACGGGAGGCAGCAGUAGGGAAUCUUCCGCAAUGGGCGAAAGCCUGACGGAGCAACGCCGCGUGAGUGAUGAAGGUCUUCGGAUCGUAAAACUCUGUUAUUAGGGAAGAACAAAUGUGUAAGUAACUAUGCACGUCUUGACGGUACCUAAUCAGAAAGCCACGGCUAACUACGUG
RNAcentral lists this ribosomal RNA (496 nucleotides) under uncultured bacterium. RNAcentral describes it as "partial 16S ribosomal RNA". It matches the Rfam family "Bacterial small subunit ribosomal RNA", at positions 29 to 507 of the family's 1533-position model. The record is from RNAcentral.